RNAcentral lists this unclassified non-coding RNA (20 nucleotides) under Mus musculus (house mouse). RNAcentral describes it as "oocyte_clustered_small_RNA3758". The record is from RNAcentral. Lineage: Eukaryota; Metazoa; Chordata; Mammalia; Rodentia; Muridae.
UAUACAAGGUUAUGGAAACA